GUCGGGGCAGUCCCCAAAGUUUAUGGGGGGGUGCUUUGUCCUCAGCCCCGCGCCGGAUGCUCGCUGUCUGCAGGCUACACUUGCCUGUGGCGUCUGAGCUGCGAACGGGACCCUCUUCUCUCCCGGUCCAGGUCGCCUCUUUCCACACCCUACCUGGCUGACCCAGCUCCAAAGCCGCGUCUCUCGGGACGCUCUGCCUGACGUCAAACCUGAAGUUGGGAUGGAAGAGACCCAAGUUCUCCCAGACGCCACCACCGCCAGCACGGUCCUCACUCAUCCUAAUCCAGGCCUGGCUCUCCCUCCCUUCUGGCUGCGAGGUCUCCGUUCCAGUCUCUGACUCUGCUGGAGAGAUGGCUCAGAGGGUAACUGCUCAGAGGGACCUGGGUUCCAUCCCCGCGGACCCGUAAGGCGGAGGGAGACCACCGAUCCUGCAAAUUGUCCUCUGACCUCCACUGGGACACUCAGCACAGCAGCUUUCAGUUUUCCUCCCCUCUCCCUCCAUCUCUGUACACAGUUGUGCGGGUCAGAAGUCUUGUGGCUUUGGACAGCUGCCUAAAGGACCCCAAGCAGAACAAUCACAUUCGUGUGCACUCCAUUGGUCCUUCCCAGUCACCCUGUUAUCCACUGCCCAGAAAGUCUGCAUCUUGGACUCAGCUCAGCUCACCCACCGAAAAGAAAAUGAGCGACGGGAGAUGCUGACAAGAACGAUUCGGACUCAGGUACUUGCAGCAAGAACAGCCUCUUGGAAGGCAUUGGAAGGCAGCUCUCAACCUCCAGGCUGGAGGCGGGAGACGGGCAGACACGCAGAGGCCAUACACCCAAGUGGGCCCCGGGUACAGUGAGGUUUUGAGCCUUAUUGCUUCUCCUGGUAAGGUCAGAGCCUGAAGACUGAUUUUUUUUUUCUUUAAAGCAAAGUUGACUAGUGGAAGUCUGCAU
This is a long non-coding RNA of Mesocricetus auratus (golden hamster), 936 nucleotides long. RefSeq lists it as uncharacterized. The record is from RefSeq and is a predicted model, not a curated record. The transcript is spliced from 5 exons. NCBI's taxonomy places the organism in Eukaryota, Metazoa, Chordata, Mammalia, Rodentia, Cricetidae.